Molecule: ribosomal RNA, 269 nt
Filed under: uncultured archaeon
Lineage: Archaea
Description: partial 16S ribosomal RNA
Rfam family: Archaeal small subunit ribosomal RNA
Source: RNAcentral
CUGCAGCCCGAGUGGUGAUCGAUUUUAUUGAACCUAAAGCGUCCGUAGCCGGACUAGUAAACCCUUGGGUAAAUUGGGCAGCUUAACUGUCCAAAUUCUGAGGGGACUGCUAGUCUUGGGACCGGGAGAGGUCAGAGGUACUCAAGGGGUAGGGGCUAAAUCCUGUACUCCUUUGGGGACCACCAGUGGCGAAGGCGUCUGACUAGAACGGAUCCGACGGUAAGGGACGAAACCCUGGGGCGCGAACCGGAUUAGAUACCCGAGUAGUC